RNAcentral lists this long non-coding RNA (4800 nucleotides) under Sus scrofa (pig). Its description in RNAcentral is "lncRNA (ENSSSCG00050020053.1)". The record is from RNAcentral. Lineage: Eukaryota; Metazoa; Chordata; Mammalia; Artiodactyla; Suidae.
UUCCCAUGGCAUAUGGAGGUUUCCAGGCUAGGGGUCUAAUCAGAGCUGUAGCCGCUGGCCUACGCCAGAGCCACCGCAACACGGGAUCCGAGCCGCAUCUGCUACCUACACCACAGCUCAUGGCAACUCCGGAUCUUUAACUCACUGAGCAAGGACAGGGAUCGAACCCACAACCCCAUUGUUCCUAGUCAGAUUUGUUAACCACUGCACCACUACGGGCAUUCCUAAAGCACUUUAAGAAUAAAGAGCAAAUGAGUGAUCUGAACCAAGUGUUAUUUUUAUAACAAAGGGGAAAAUCUAAUAAAUACAUUUCAUUUCUAACUCUAACAAGACACGUUGUUAAUUAGAACAAGUAAAUAUUAAUUUGAGAGCCUGUCAAACUUGCGAUUAGGAACAAAAUCCGACAUCUUAUUUAAACCAACCACUGGCAAAUCUGUAUUUAUUUGUUAACUUUCUAAAACCAGGGCCAGCAGUGACAUCUAAGCAAUGCAUCUCAAUCUUGAAAGGUACUUCUGUGGAGCUGCUCCAUGUUUCUUCUCUUAAAUGUGCUUUCCACUCCUCUACCACCCCCCACACCAUUGCCAUUGGCCACCAUUAUUUCCUUCAUGAAUUCACCCAGAUUGUGAUAUCAGGAUAUCAGAAUUAUGUUGACACCUUGAUUUAGCGUAAUUUUCAUUGGAUUAGGGCUGGGCUCUUGUUUACCACUGCCUAUUCUUUUUUUUUUGUCUUUUGAGGGCAGAACCCUUGGCAUGUGGAGGUUCCCAGAGUAGGGGUAGAAUAGGAGCUGUAGCUGCCAGCCUACACCACAGCCACAGCAACGCAGGAUCAAAGCCGCAUCUGCAACCUACACCAGAGCUCAUAGCAAUGCCAGAUCCUUAACCCACUGAGUAAGGCCAGGGAUUGAACCUGCGUCCUCAGGGAUAAUAGGUUUGUUAACCACUGAGCUAUGAUGGGAACUCCAGACCACUGCCCACUCUUGAACUAGAGACACUUAUAUGGACCCAUGAAAAAGGUCUUUCAGCUUCCUGUUCCAACCACGGUCCUCUCCUUAGUCUAGAAUACUCCAGAGAGGCAAAAGGCAAGAGGCAGGAGGCAACAAGUGAUAGAUACUGGGUUUGCUGAGAGUUUUCUGUUGUUAUCUCCCAUCCAAAACAGAGCAAACAUGCCUGUGGUUACCAGCAAUUAAUGCAUUUUUUUCACAAAUAUGGUCAUUUAUCAAGGGUUACCUAGUAAUAACAUCAGGAUCUAAAAAUUGCAGGUUGCAUGCUCUCCAGUUUUAACAUUUGAAUUCAUUCUUUACCAAGAAUUGUCCUGCUCCCAUACCUUGAAAAGGACCAAAGAAGAGCCUUUCCCCUUCAAUAUUCCUGAUAAUGACUUUCAAAUGUUGGCAUUUAUGCAUGAGCAAAAGCCACUUUUCAAAGGAUAAUGUAACUGAAUUCAUCUUCUUCUUUUGACCUUUAAAUGACUUUUUGGUCUUGCCUCACUUAUCUUUCUUACUUCUUUGGUUUUGCCAUUCUCUCUCAUCUUCUGAGAUCAUUGAAUCAGGGCUUCAGGUUGUACAAUUAUUUUUUAAAUCCUUCACAAAUGUAGAUGUUCCUGUUUCUCAGGUAAUGCCCUGUAUAGAUUUUAUUUGAUAUUUUAAUGAUGUUCUUUCUCAUAGAGUAAUAUACUUAAAAAGAUUUCAAAAUUCUAACUUUAUACUUAAACAUAAUAAAAAAAUAGUACUUAGAGAAGUAUUAUAAAGCAUAAUACUUACACCUCUUGCACAUAUCUGCUAUAAAUUAAUAAAAUUACCAAAUGAGAAAUACAAACAAUGAACAUAAAACAGAGUUUAGAGUCAAUCUUCUACCUGGAAUUUCUUACAUAAGCCAUCAAUAUGAGAAAAACUAUUAAAAUCUAAGGAAAAAAAUUAAGUAAAUCAAUAAAUAGUGUUUUAUACAAAGGAAGAUAGUAUUUUUGAAAACUAUUAAAUUGUUGCUAUUCUCCUAAAGUUAUAAAUUCUUAUAAUUUUAUAAAGAAAUAAUCUGCCUGUUUACCUAUAUUUGUAUAGUUGGAAAUAUUAAUAUAAAAUAUAUCCCAACUUACCAGUAAAAAUCUCUUUUAUUUUGCAUGCAAUAAAAAUAAAUCUUUUAUAUAAUGUUAAAUUUUGGCAUGUGAAUUUAAAUUUAUAAGUUGUUUUUCAAGGGUUUUAUAGACAUCUUAAUUAGUACCCUGUCUAUUUAAUUUUGUUUGCAUCAGCCCAAUCUUUCAUGAAAAUAGAAAUACUAUUCAAAUCAUAUUCUCAGGAAAUAUGUCCUUUUUUGUUAUACAUUAUGUACUGAAUUUUUUAAAAAAAUCCCAAAGCAAAAAAAAUGUGAUAGUUACUGGAGGAGUCAGAGGAGUUGUAAUUUUAAGUAUAAUUUAGCCCAAUAAAUUUUAAAAGAUUAUCAGUUUUUCUUGACUUUCAUGAGUUUCAGAAAAACUUAAGUAUAUGUAACCAACUUGAGCUCUAUGUGGGUGUAUACAUAUGUGUAUAUAUAUGGAUAGCCAUAGUGACAAUAACUGUAUAAAAUAUUCGCUUCACUAAUUUUCAAGUUGCUCAUUAGUUAUAAUUGUGCAUUAAUCUUUUACUAGUUUUUUUGUGUACCUUUGUGUGUGUGUGUAAAAGAUUUUGCUUUAAAACUGCUUUCCAUUUUACAUUAGGUUCAUUUAAAUUUAAACUUUCAAUAGCCUUGAAUAACAAUAGUGCCAGCUUAAGGAGUUUCAGCUAUUUUGCUAGAUGCUGAGAAAAUAAAGACUAAUGGCUCCUUAUUUAGAGGGGUACCUGGGCUAAUAGAGGAGGCUUUCAUGUAUGUGACUGAGUAAAGUGCAAUAUACUGUCACGAGAACCCAGAGGAAGGGGUGAUUUAUAUUGUCUGUGGAUAGUGAAUAUUCAUUUUCAGGAAAACUAACACUGCAUUGAGCUAUGUGAGACAUACUUUGCUUUUUACCUAUGAAUUCUGUAUUACCUCAAUAGGCCUUCUCCAAAACUGUGAUUUUUGUAGUUUUAGAUUUCUAUUUUGCUCCUAUGCUUUCACAGUUUUGGAGUCGUAAAAUAUAAGAAGCCACAGUGUGUGAUGAACCAUCUCAUCUCUUUGAUGAUUAGUCUCUUAAAUGUUGUAAGACUUAGAAUUCUGACAGCAGAGGACCACUAAAUAUCUCAAAGGAGAUUAUUUUACUCAGUCGCCUCAUUUAAUAUAUAGUGAAACCAGGUACCAGAAGAAUUACACUUUUUUUUUUUCAAGGUCAGAGUUAAAGGGUAACAAAUCAGGAAUAAAACUCAGCCAUGUGGACUUUGAGUGCUUAGCUUAUUUUUGUUUUGUUUUCUAGGCUAUAUCAUUAUUUCCCUGAAUUUCAUUUAGAUUAGAAAAUUAGGAUGUUCUCUUUUCAUUAUGCUUAUUCCUCUGCUCACUGUGUUCCUUAAUAUUUCUAAGGAGUCAUUUCAGAGUAAUUAAAUGAUCAACAUAAGGGUUUUAUAGGCUGGAGACUUAAAAUAGCAUUAGUUUUUUAAACUAGGGAUGUCAUGUUUUUGCCAUCUGUUCAUAAAAAUUUUUAUUAUUUAAUACGCCAUUUCACUUAUUUCUUCAUCCAAGAAAAAAUAACAAGUAUUAAAAUGCUCAAAAUAUUUUACAUACUUUUUCCAAGUUAUUAGUAUAUAAUUAUGGAUAGUUUAAUAUUUCCAUGCUUAUGUAGAUUUUUCAUGACAAAACAUUACUUAACCACUUAGGGACUUUGAAUAAGUUUUUAUAAUUUUUUGAAACAAAUUCCUUAUCUUAGGUCAUCUCUAGGUUCACACUAACUGAUUCCUUUUUCCCCAUCUAGGUUUCUUGCACCGUCCUUUUUAGUGUGAGAUAAAACAGCAUAUUUCCUCAAAUAACAACUUUAACAAAAAUUUGCAAAUAUUCUUCUUUCCCUGAGGUUUAUUCUGUUCAUUAUUUUAAAACAUGGUCUUCAAGCAAAGCAGUUAUUUUAAAAAACUCAACUUCUCACCUUCCCAACACUCUCUUGUGUCAUAUAGCUACAUAAUUAAUUCCUUUUAGUGACUUAACUAUUAAACAUAAAUAAGUGCACAUAUUUUAAAAAGCAGAUUAUUUCAAUUACAUUGAAUUAAGAACAAGGAGACUACAUAUUCUAACAACUUUUGCAAAUUCUUCCUUCAAUCCUUCUUUGAUCCUUUCUUUUUCUUUCUUUCUUUCUUUCUUGCUUUCUUGCUUUCUUGCUUUCUCUCUCUCUCUCUCUCUCUCUUUCUUUCUUUCUCUUUUUAGGGCCUCACUUGAGGCAUGUGGAAAUUCCCAGGUUAGGGGUCAAAUCGGAGCUAUAGCUGAUCCAAGUCAUAUCUGUGCCCUACACCAUAGCUCAUGGCAACACCAGAUCCUUAACCCACUGAACUAGGCCAGGGAUUGAACCUGCAUCCUCAAGGAUGCUAGUCAGAUUCAUUUCCAGUGAGCCACAAUGGGAACUCUUCUUUUUCUAUUUAAUCUCAUAUAUUCUCUUUUAUUUAUUUUAAAUAGAUCGUUUGCAUUGUUGAUAUGUAAUAUCCUUCAGGCAACAAAGAAGUGCAAGUAGGUUUUGAAAUAAUUUUAAAAUAAGAAAGGAAAAUAAAUGGGGAAAAGUGGAAAAUUAAUAAUUUACUAAAUAAAUAUAUUUAGUAAAAUAAAUAUUAGGGUCCUAUAUGUCAGUCUCUUGGCUAGCUAUUUUUCCACAAAUUAUCUUGCUGAAUGCUUCCAAUAACUUCAUGAGCCAUGUUUUCUUUUCUUUUCUUUUCUUUUUUCUUCCUUUUUA